RNAcentral lists this ribosomal RNA (253 nucleotides) under uncultured bacterium. RNAcentral's name for it is "partial 16S ribosomal RNA". It matches the Rfam family "Bacterial small subunit ribosomal RNA", at positions 524 to 776 of the family's 1533-position model. The record is from RNAcentral.
GACAGAGGUGCCAAGCGUUAGGCGGAAUCACUGGGCUUAAAGCGUGUGUAGGCGGAUUUGUAAGUACCUUGUGAAAUCCCACGGCUUAACCGUGGAACUGCUCGGUAUACUGCGAAUCUUGGGUCAUCUAGGGGCGAGCGGAACAAGUGGUGGAGCGGUGAAAUGCGUAGAUAUCACUUGGAACGCCAAUGGUGAAAACAGCUCGCUGGGGAUGCACCGACGCUGAGACACGAAAGCCAGGGGAGCGAACGGG